Notothenia coriiceps (black rockcod) is the source of this 2057-nucleotide long non-coding RNA. RefSeq lists it as uncharacterized. The record is from RefSeq and is a predicted model, not a curated record. Lineage: Eukaryota; Metazoa; Chordata; Actinopteri; Perciformes; Nototheniidae. The transcript has 2 exons.
CUGGAGCUGUUCACUCAGUGGGACUGGAGCUCCUACCUGGCUGACUACGGGAAACCCAGCUGUAAAUACCUGAGAGUGAAUCCACACACUGCUCUGAUCCUGCUGGAGAAGAUGAGGGAGACGAGCAGGAAGAACAACGUCUUCGCUCAGUUCAGGAAGACGGACCGAGACCGACAGAAACUCAUCGACACCAUCAUCAAACAGCUGCGUAACCUCAUCGCCCAGCAACAGGCCUGAAGCGAGCCGUCUGAUUGGCCCGCAGGCCUGAAGCCCCCGUCCUGAUUGGCUGUUUUCCACCAUCCUGCCUUCAUCGUUCUGUUUUCGCAAGCGUCUGCUGAUCCAUGCACCUUAACUUCGCCAAACUCCACUGAACAAACGACGUCGUGGCGGUUCAUUGAACACGCCUCUUCCUGGAUAUCAGCCCCUAACUUAGCCAUGUUAUAGGUUAGUUACUGCCCUUAAUCCAAUCUGAGUAGUCUAUUGAUUGGAGACGAGUAAGGAAAGACGUGUUCAGUUAUCUUAUUACCAAAUUACUUACUUAUCAUAUUAGAUCUUGUUCCCACAAAAGUCAACGUUAAAGUGGCAUAUGUUGUUGAAACGAUGUGGUUAUUGAAACUAGCGAUAAAAGUAGUUAUUAAAACUCUCAAUCUACUUGUUGCAUUUGACAUAUUUCUAGGUGUGCAGCUUGGUAGCCUUUCUUUUUGUAAGAAGUCACAUUUCCAGAGGUUUUUUUCUUUGUACCACAAGCUUCCAAUUCCUAAAAUGUAAGCAGUGUGUCCUCCCCUUCUUUAUAUUCUCCUUUCAUGUCUUCCACGUUGCUCUUUUCUCACUGUGGCACAACAUAUUGAAUGUACAUCAGAGAGGAAGCAGCCAGAAAAGCACUGAGAUCAAGAUGAGGUCUGUAAAAAAAAAAAAAAAAACUAGAAUGUUCCUUCAGUGUUGUCUAAUAAAGGGGGAUAUUAACGCAACAUGGCAACCCUUUCCCCUCGAUAUAUACAACCUGCAAACACUUGAAUGGGCGACAAUGCUCAGACCUGGCAACCUUGUUCCCUCUUCUUCACGAUUGUAAACAAAGUGGGGGUUUAAAAGAGGGGAUGUUGUCCAAACAUGGCAACCCAUUCCUCAGCUUCCAGUCAAACUUGAUCAGGUGUUGCCAGAGCGUUUUUUCUACUCUAAAUGUAUAACUGGGUCUUAAAGAGAAGUUCGCCCCCCAAAAUUGACAAAUAGACUAAUGUUGUAUAGGAACCAUUGUACUUGUAACGCCAAGCACACACACACAUUUAUGUCUUCCGUAAACCAAGCAGUGUGUGUGUGUAGGUUUGUUUAGUUGGAGCACAGCACAUAUUACAUUAGAUUAUUUUUAUUAACUUAUAUGGGUCUUUUUGUUGCUUGUUUUUCCUUCAACUUGGGUGCAAUAAUAGCAUUGGAAACUGUGUGUGUGUGUGUGUGUGUGUGUGUGUGUGUGUGUGUGUGUGUGUGUGUGUGUGUGUGUGUGUGUGUGUGUGUGUUUUAAAAAGGGAUUCAAACGUACAGUGUGUGUGUCAGAUGGGAAUUUAAGUCUUCCUCUUCCUUACAAUAUGUUGCCAUGUUUGAUUUACUGAGCGACCACGCGUCAUGUGUGUUUGAUUUCACGUGUGUGUGUGUUUUCCAUCCAUCCUACGCUGUGUAUCACUUCUAGGUGUUAGAAAGGGAACGGGCCGUCGUUAUUGAAUGUGCCUUUGCUGUAUUUUGGGUUAUUUUCCUGCCAAUGAAGCGCCAACACUGUGGCGUUUGGAGUCUGGACGCUUUCUGCGAUAUCAAUUAAGUAUUCGUUGUAGCAUUUGAUCCUUUACGGUUUGCAGAAUGUCCAUUCAAACUCACUUCCUAGUUGUAUUAGUACAUUACCUUUGUUCUUUGUCCAGACUCCUCUCGCUGCAGGCGUUGCCGUUUACUUUGUUUUGUAUUUUGUAAAAAGCAGAACUCUUUGCUGAGACAGAAGCACUGUAUACGCUGUUGUAUUAAAACCACUUAUGAAUGAAACUUAAGUCAAAUACUAAUAAAACGGCAACACAUAUGAA